Molecule: transfer RNA, 74 nt
Filed under: Cyrtodactylus dianxiensis (Western Yunnan bent-toed gecko)
Lineage: Eukaryota; Metazoa; Chordata; Lepidosauria; Squamata; Gekkonidae
Description: tRNA-Asx
Source: RNAcentral
CCUAGACCGACGGGCCUUGAUCCCGUAAAAACCUAAUUAACAACUAGACGCGGAAGCCAGCGGGCCUCAGCCUA